UUGAUCGAAAUGUUAAAAAAGUUAUUUUUUCCGGUUCAGUGUAAUAAAAAAGUGUUUUCAAAUGUAAAAAAAGUGUUAUUAAAGUGAAGAACUGCAACGUUUUUAGGACAUUAUUAAAAAACGAAUAGAACUUUAGUAAGAAACUUAAAAACUAAAUAGUGACGCGUCGUGUUGGUAAAAAGGAAUUAAACUGAGAAAAAAACGAAGUUUUUCAAAAGCUAUCGUACAUUAUUAAAUUGUAAAGUGUUUGUUACAAAAUCUUCUAAAAAAUUUUUAUAUAAAUUAUAGCUGCGAAAGGAACUGUGCCUUCAUUUGUGUUAAUCAGAUCUUCGACAUAAUUUUGAUUUAUUGAUUGAUUUGACUUGCAUUAAAUAGUGACAAUAUGUACCUGGAAAGAGAAGAACGAAAUUGAA
This is a long non-coding RNA of Lucilia sericata (common green bottle fly), 413 nucleotides long. RefSeq lists it as uncharacterized. The transcript is spliced from 4 exons. NCBI's taxonomy places the organism in Eukaryota, Metazoa, Arthropoda, Insecta, Diptera, Calliphoridae. The record is from RefSeq and is a predicted model, not a curated record.